UCCUACGGGACGCAGCAGUGGGGAAUAUUGCACAAUGGGGGAAACCCUGAUGCAGCAACGCCGUGUGAAGGAAGACGGUUUUCGGAUUGUAAACUUCUGUUCUUAGUGAAGAAUAAUGACGGUAGCUAAGGAGCAAGCCACGGCUAACUACGUGCCAGCAGCCGCGGUAAUACGUAGGUGGCAAGCGUUGUCCGGAAUUACUGGGUGUAAAGGGAGCGCAGGCGGGAAGGCAAGUCAGCUGUGAAAACUACGGGCUUAACUUGUAGACUGCAGUUGAAAAUGGUUUUCUUGAGUGAAGAAGAGGU
This 305-nucleotide ribosomal RNA is filed under the name uncultured bacterium. RNAcentral's name for it is "bacterial SSU rRNA". It matches the Rfam family "Bacterial small subunit ribosomal RNA", at positions 337 to 658 of the family's 1533-position model. The record is from RNAcentral.